UCCACUGCCCAGUGAGGGGCCUUCUGAUGUU
This 31-nucleotide non-coding RNA is filed under the name Homo sapiens (human). Lineage: Eukaryota; Metazoa; Chordata; Mammalia; Primates; Hominidae. The record is from RNAcentral.